Molecule: ribosomal RNA, 253 nt
Filed under: uncultured bacterium
Lineage: Bacteria
Description: partial 16S ribosomal RNA
Rfam family: Bacterial small subunit ribosomal RNA
Source: RNAcentral
UACGAAGGGGGCUAGCGUUGCUCGGAAUCACUGGGCGUAAAGCGCACGUAGGCGGGUCCUUAAGUCGGGGGUGAAAUCCCGGAGCUCAACUCCGGAACUGCCUUCGAUACUGGGGACCUCGAGUCCGGGAGAGGUGAGUGGAACUGCGAGUGUAGAGGUGAAAUUCGUAGAUAUUCGCAAGAACACCAGUGGCGAAGGCGGCUUUCUGGCCUGUUCUUGACGCUGAGGCGCGAAAGCCAGGGGAGCAAACGGG